This 206-nucleotide ribosomal RNA is filed under the name uncultured bacterium. RNAcentral's name for it is "partial 16S ribosomal RNA". It matches the Rfam family "Bacterial small subunit ribosomal RNA", at positions 568 to 774 of the family's 1533-position model. The record is from RNAcentral.
CACGUAGGCGGCUUUGUAAGUUAGAGGUGAAAGCCCGGGGCUCAACUCCGGAAUUGCCUUUAAGACUGCAUCGCUAGAAUUGUGGAGAGGUGAGUGGAAUUCCGAGUGUAGAGGUGAAAUUCGUAGAUAUUCGGAAGAACACCAGUGGCGAAGGCGACUCACUGGACACAUAUUGACGCUGAGGUGCGAAAGCGUGGGAGCAAACA